This is a long non-coding RNA of Callithrix jacchus (white-tufted-ear marmoset), 1260 nucleotides long. RefSeq lists it as uncharacterized. The record is from RefSeq and is a predicted model, not a curated record. Lineage: Eukaryota; Metazoa; Chordata; Mammalia; Primates; Cebidae.
UCUCUAUCCUUCAGAUAGUAUCUGGGACCAAAACCUGAGGGAGCCUGUGGGACAGAGCAGGCGAGCACGGGCCCCGCCCCUUUCGCUCCUUGACCUCUGGGAACAGCCCAGCCCCAGGGGCGGAACCUCGUGCGCAGCCUCAGGCUGGAGAAAACAGCAGGGAGGGGUGAGCUACAACCGGCAGAGCCUGCGGGCACCUGGAGGGUGGCAGCCUGGCGCACAGCUCCGGCAGGCCUCCCCAGCAUUCCACAGUCCCAGGCAGCAAGGUUAAAAAGGCUCCCCAGGCAUUUGGCUGCCAGCCACAGGUCCCCGUGUGGGCAGUAGCUCCCGAAGUGGCCCAGGCACGGGAAGAAACUAAGAGUCAGUCACUCCAGCGGAAGUUCUAAGGAACUCCUUUCAUUGGCCAGGGGUCUUGGAGAAGCAAUGAAUAUCACUGACUAAAUGGAUGGAGGAGAAGAAAGAUGAUGACAAAGAACCAGUAAUGCAAAUUCAACUAUCCCUGUGUUAUAGAAGCCAGAAAAACUUAAACUGCCAGAUCUCAAGAAGCUUAGCAAAAAGUCAGAAUUUUUUAUUGUUGGAUUCAGAAAGCAUAACUGCAGAAUAAGAGUGGUGGAAGGAAAGUGUCAUUAUUCACUUCAUAAGGAGAAAACCCUGAUAACCUGACUUAUCAUCAAGAUCACUAACUCGAGGUACCCAGUGUUCACCUACUUCACAAAAAAAGACCAAAACAAGAAAAAAACAAUGGCACUUUGAGUAGAUACUCUACAAGAAAACACUGAAUUGAUCAAAGAAGACAGGAAAACCCUCUGAAGCAUGGAACCUUGAAAUCUCAGCAUAGAGAGGUGUUGCAUCCACAUUUUAGGCAGAAAGAAGAUAAAGAGCAAAUGGCAAAAAGCUGCUGCCAACUGAAUCUGUUCCUGUUCAUCAUUGAAACGAUGACAUUUUCGAAUAUUCAUGGGAGAUGCUUUUGUUUGUACCCCAAUGGCUAGAACUGAGCCAACUGGGUACUUUCAGUUUCUAGGUCAUCUGAGAAGGUGCUCUUGUGCAGAUGCUUGUGCCCAGAAAGAGAGAGAGAAGAGAGAGCCAAAGCUACCCAUCUUGCCAGUGGACAAGAGGAAGCCAGGACACAGCUCUGCUCGCUCGUGCCCAGAGUGAGAAAGAGGAAGACACUACUGUCGGGGACCGUAUCCUUUACAGUAUGUGUUCCACCUACUGCUUCUGUGGAUUCUCUCCAAAACCAGUUCACAGCCACUUGAAAGG